Molecule: ribosomal RNA, 448 nt
Filed under: uncultured Streptococcus sp.
Lineage: Bacteria; Bacillati; Bacillota; Bacilli; Lactobacillales; Streptococcaceae
Description: bacterial SSU rRNA
Rfam family: Bacterial small subunit ribosomal RNA
Source: RNAcentral
UGGAGCAUGUGGUUUAAUUCGAAGCAACGCGAAGAACCUUACCAGGUCUUGACAUCCCGAUGCUAUUUCUAGAGAUAGAAAGUUACUUCGGUACAUCGGUGACAGGUGGUGCAUGAUUGUCGUCAGCUCGUGUCGUGAGAUGUUGGGUUAAGUCCCGCAACGAGCGCAACCCCUAUUGUUAGUUGCCAUCAUUCAGUUGGGCACUCUAGCGAGACUGCCGGUAAUAAACCGGAGGAAGGUGGGGAUGACGUCAAAUCAUCAUGCCCCUUAUGACCUGGGCUACACACGUGCUACAAUGGUUGGUACAACGAGUUGCGAGUCGGUGACGGCGAGCUAAUCUCUUAAAGCCAAUCUCAGUUCGGAUUGUAGGCUGCAACUCGCCUACAUGAAGUCGGAAUCGCUAGUAAUCGCGGAUCAGCACGCCGCGGUGAAUACGUUCCCGGGCCUU